ACGAACGCUGGCGGCGUGCUUAACCCAUGCAAGUCGAACGGAAAGGCCCUGCUUUUGUGGGGUGCUCGAGUGGCGAACGGGUGAGUAACACGUGAGUAACCUGCCCUUGACUUUGGGAUAACUUCAGGAAACUGGGGCUAAUACCGGAUAGGAGCUCCUGCUGCAGGGUGGGGGUUGGAAAGUUUCGGCGGUUGGGGAUGGACUCGCGGCUUAUCAGCUUGUUGGUGGGGUAGUGGCUUACCAAGGCUUUGACGGGUAGCCGGCCUGAGAGGGUGACCGGCCACAUUGGGACUGAGAUACGGCCCAGACUCCUACGGGAGGCAGCAGUGGGGAAUAUUGCACAAUGGGCGGAAGCCUGAUGCAGCAACGCCGCGUGCGGGAUGACGGCCUUCGGGUUGUAAACCGCUUUCGCCUGUGACGAAGCGUGAGUGACGGUAAUGGGUAAAGAAGCACCGGCUAACUACGUG
RNAcentral lists this ribosomal RNA (467 nucleotides) under uncultured bacterium. RNAcentral describes it as "partial 16S ribosomal RNA". It matches the Rfam family "Bacterial small subunit ribosomal RNA", at positions 29 to 507 of the family's 1533-position model. The record is from RNAcentral.